This 471-nucleotide ribosomal RNA is filed under the name uncultured bacterium. RNAcentral's name for it is "partial 16S ribosomal RNA". It matches the Rfam family "Bacterial small subunit ribosomal RNA", at positions 29 to 507 of the family's 1533-position model. The record is from RNAcentral.
ACGAACGCUGGCGGCGUGCUUAACACCUGCAAGUCGAACGCUGAAGCUUGGUGCUUGCACUGGGUGGAUGAGUGGCGAACGGGUGAGUAAUACGUGAGUAACCUGCCCUUGACUCUGGGAUAAGCCUGGGAAACUGGGUCUAAUACUGGAUAUGACAUGCCACUGCAUGGUGGUGUGUGGAAAGGGUUUUACUGGUUUUGGAUGGGCUCACGGCCUAUCAGCUUGUUGGUGGGGUAAUGGCCUACCAAGGCGACGACGGGUAGCCGGCCUGAGAGGGUGACCGGCCACACUGGGACUGAGACACGGCCCAGACUCCUACGGGAGGCAGCAGUGGGGAAUAUUGCACAAUGGGCGGAAGCCUGAUGCAGCGACGCCGCGUGAGGGAUGACGGCCUUCGGGUUGUAAACCUCUUUCAGCACGGAAGAAGCGAGAGUGACGGUACGUGCAGAAGAAGCGCCGGCUAACUACGUG